GAAGAAAUCAUCUGCUUAGCUGUUCACAGGAAUCCUUCCCACUGCUUGAUGGUUAAAAGGAGUCUGGCUCUGAGACACACCAACCACUCACAUGUCUGGUUGAACUCACCGGGACCUGUGAGUAGCACAUGACCCCCCUGUGAAGGUGUUGCUCAUUGCUGUGGGUGAAUUGUUCAAGGCAACAGAUGAAAAGGAUGAGCAAUUCCUUGCUGAAAAGGAUGAGCAAUUUUGAUGGAAAAAGGACACCAAGUUGGCACUGAAAACUGACACCACGAGCUGACCCUGUUUGGUGGAAACAAUGCUGGUGGGAGGACUGGAGCCACCUCGCUGUUCCUUGUGUGUGUGGCACUGGCUGCAGGGGAGUUUUUUUGCCAGCACACUGGAUGCUGAGCUGGGAGAAAAGGUGGAGGAGCUGCCAGGGGCUGUCUGGAUGUGAGCACAGAGGAAGUGUGAGCCAUUCCACCCGCCUGCAGGAACCAGGCCUUCUCC
This is a long non-coding RNA of Neopelma chrysocephalum (saffron-crested tyrant-manakin), 489 nucleotides long. RefSeq lists it as uncharacterized. The record is from RefSeq and is a predicted model, not a curated record. The transcript has 3 exons. Lineage: Eukaryota; Metazoa; Chordata; Aves; Passeriformes; Pipridae.